Molecule: ribosomal RNA, 897 nt
Filed under: uncultured Acidobacterium sp.
Lineage: Bacteria; Pseudomonadati; Acidobacteriota; Terriglobia; Terriglobales; Acidobacteriaceae
Description: bacterial SSU rRNA
Rfam family: Bacterial small subunit ribosomal RNA
Source: RNAcentral
UGCAGUCGCACGAGAAAGCGGAGCAAUCCGUGAGUAAAGUGGCGCACGGGUGAGUAACACGUGAAUAAUCUACCUCCGAGUGGGGAAUAACUGAGAGAAAUCUUAGCUAAUACCGCAUAACACUUACGAGUCAAAGCAGCAAUGCGCUUGGAGAGGAGUUCGCGGCCGAUUAGUUAGUUGGCGGGGUAAUGGCCCACCAAGACGAUGAUCGGUAUCCGGCCUGAGAGGGCGCACGGACACACUGGAACUGAAACACGGUCCAGACUCCUACGGGAGGCAGCAGUGGGGAAUUUUGCGCAAUGGGGGAAACCCUGACGCAGCAACGCCGCGUGGAGGAUGAAAUAUCUUGGUAUGUAAACUCCUUUCGAUGGGGAAGAUAAUGACGGUACCCAUAGAAGAAGCCCCGGCUAACUUCGUGCCAGCAGCCGCGGUAAUACGAGGGGGGCAAGCGUUGUUCGGAUUUAUUGGGCGUAAAGGGUGCGUAGGCGGUUUGACAAGUCUUAUGUGAAAUCUAUGGGCUCAACCCAUAGUCUGCAUGAGAAACUGUCGGGCUUGAGUAUGGGAGAGGUGAGUGGAAUUUCCGGUGUAGCGGUGAAAUGCGUAGAUAUCGGAAGGAACACCUGUGGCGAAAGCGGCUCACUGGACCAUAACUGACGCUGAUGCACGAAAGCUAGGGGAGCAAACAGGAUUAGAUACCCUGGUAGUCCUAGCCCUAAACGAUGAUUGGUUUGAUGUGGCAGGUACCCAAUCCUGCCGUGUCGAAGCUAACGCGAUAAACAAUCGGCUGGGGAGUACGGUCGCAAGGCUGAAACUCAAAGGAUUGACGGGGGCCCGCACAGCGGUGGAGCAUGUGAUAUCGACGCACGCGAGACUUACUGGCUCGAAUGUACAUGAUCC